Molecule: ribosomal RNA, 597 nt
Filed under: Morchella sp.
Lineage: Eukaryota; Fungi; Ascomycota; Pezizomycetes; Pezizales; Morchellaceae
Description: partial large subunit ribosomal RNA
Rfam family: Eukaryotic large subunit ribosomal RNA
Source: RNAcentral
GUGCAGAGCAUGCCUCAGUACGGCGAGUGAAGCGGCAAAAGCUCAAAUUUUAAAGCUGACAUCUUCGGUGUCCGCGUUGUAAUUUUGUGAGGCAUCUCCGGGUAGGGCGCCGGCCUAAGUUCCUUGGAACAGGACGUCACAGAGGGUGAGAAUCCCGUGCUUGGCUGGCUGUCCCCGUCCAUGUGAGGUGUCUUCGACGAGUCGAGUUGUUUGGGAAUGCAGCUCAAAAUGGGUGGUAAAUUUCAUCUAAAGCUAAAUAUUGGUGGGAGACCGAUAGCGCACAAGUAGAGUGAUCGAAAGAUGAAAAGCACUUUGAAAAUAGAGUUAAAAAGUACGUGAAAUUGUUGAAAGGGAAGCGCUUGAGAUCAGACUUCGGUAAGGGGUGAUCAGCCGUCCUUCUGGGCGGUGCACUUGCCCCCCUCCGGGCCAGCAUCGGUUGAGGCGGCGGGAUAAAGGUCCCGGGAAUGUGGCUCCUUCACGGGAGUGUUAUAGCCCGGGUGAAUGCCGCCAGCUUCGACCGAGGACCGCACCCGCAAGGGUUAGGAUGCUUGGCAUAAUGGUCUUCAGCGACCCGUCUUGAAACACCGGACCAAGAGG